ACCGGCGCACGGGUGCGUAACGCGUAUACAAUCUACCUUUUGCUGUGGGAUAGCCUUUGGAAACGAAGAUUAAUACCGCAUAGUAUGCAGACUUCUCAUGAAGAUUGCAUUAAAGGUUACGGCAGAAGAUGAGUAUGCGUCCUAUUAGCUAGUUGGUGUGGUAACGGCACACCAAGGCCACGAUAGGUAGGGGCCCUGAGAGGGGGAUCCCCCACACUGGUACUGAGACACGGACCAGACUCCUACGGGAGGCAGCAGUGAGGAAUAUUGGACAAUGGAGGCAACUCUGAUCCAGCCAUGCCGCGUGCAGGAAGACUGCCCUAUGGGUUGUAAACUGCUUUUAUACGGGAAGAAACACUGCUACGUGUAGCAGCUUGACGGUACCGUAAGAAUAAGGAUCGGCUAACUCCGUGCCAGCAGCCGCGGUAAUACGGAGGAUCCAAGCGUUAUCCGGAAUCAUUGGGUUUAAAGGGUCCGUAGGUGGAUGAUUAAGUCAGAGGUGAAAGUCUGCAGCUCAACUGUAGAAUUGCCUUUGAUACUGGUUAUCUUGAAUUAUUAUGAAGUAGUUAGAAUAUGUAGUGUAGCGGUGAAAUGCAUAGAUAUUACAUAGAAUACCAAUUGCGAAGGCAGAUUACUAAUAAUCAAUUGACACUGAUGGACGAAAGCGUGGGGAGCGAACAGGAUUAGAUACCCUGGUAGUCCACGCCGUAAACGAUGGAUACUAGCUGUUCG
This 732-nucleotide ribosomal RNA is filed under the name uncultured Flavobacteriales bacterium. RNAcentral's name for it is "bacterial SSU rRNA". It matches the Rfam family "Bacterial small subunit ribosomal RNA", at positions 94 to 826 of the family's 1533-position model. Lineage: Bacteria; Pseudomonadati; Bacteroidota; Flavobacteriia; Flavobacteriales. The record is from RNAcentral.